GACGAACGCUGGCGGCGUGCCUAAUAUAUGCAAGUCGAGCGGACGAAUCGAAAGCUUGCUUUUGAUUCGUUAGCGGCGGACGGGUGAGUAACACGUGGGCAACCUGCCCUGUAGACGGGGAUAACACCGAGAAAUCGGUGCUAAUACCGGAUAACACGAAAUGUCGCAUGACGUUUCGUUGAAAGACGGCGCAAGCUGUCGCUACAGGAUGGGCCCGCGGCGCAUUAGCUAGUUGGUGAGGUAACGGCUCACCAAGGCGACGAUGCGUAGCCGACCUGAGAGGGUGAUCGGCCACACUGGGACUGAGACACGGCCCAGACUCCUACGGGAGGCAGCAGUAGGGAAUCUUCCGCAAUGGACGAAAGUCUGACGGAGCAACGCCGCGUGAGCGAAGGAGGCCUUCGGGUCGUAAAGCUCUGUUGUUAGGGAAGAACAAGUAACGCAGUAACUGGCGUUACCGUGACGGUACCUAACGAGAAAGCCACGGCUAACUACGUG
RNAcentral lists this ribosomal RNA (498 nucleotides) under uncultured bacterium. RNAcentral describes it as "partial 16S ribosomal RNA". It matches the Rfam family "Bacterial small subunit ribosomal RNA", at positions 28 to 507 of the family's 1533-position model. The record is from RNAcentral.